ACGAACGCUGGCGGCGUGCUUCACACAUGCAAGUCGAACGGUGAACUCCGCUUGCGGGGGGAUCAGUGGCGAACGGGUGAGUAACACGUGGGCAACCUGCCCUCAGCUCUGGGAUAACUCCAAGAAAUUGGGGCUAAUACCGGAUAUGACCGCUGACCGCAUGGUCUGGUGGUGGAAAGAUUUAUCGGCUGGGGAUGGGCCCGCGGCCUAUCAGCUUGUUGGUGGGGUAGUGGCCUACCAAGGCGACGACGGGUAGCCGGCCUGAGAGGGUGACCGGCCACACUGGGACUGAGACACGGCCCAGACUCCUACGGGAGGCAGCAGUGGGGAAUAUUGCGCAAUGGGCGAAAGCCUGACGCAGCGACGCCGCGUGGGGGAUGACGGCCUUCGGGUUGUAAACCUCUUUCAGCAGGGACGAAGCGAAAGUGACAGUACCUGCAGAAGAAGCACCGGCCAACUACGUG
Molecule: ribosomal RNA, 464 nt
Filed under: uncultured bacterium
Lineage: Bacteria
Description: partial 16S ribosomal RNA
Rfam family: Bacterial small subunit ribosomal RNA
Source: RNAcentral